RNAcentral lists this transfer RNA (83 nucleotides) under Dorea formicigenerans. Its description in RNAcentral is "tRNA-Leu". It matches the Rfam family "tRNA". From Rfam's summary of the family: Transfer RNA (tRNA) molecules are approximately 80 nucleotides in length. Their secondary structure includes four short double-helical elements and three loops (D, anti-codon, and T loops). Further hydrogen bonds mediate the characteristic L-shaped molecular structure. tRNAs have two regions of fundamental functional importance: the anti-codon, which is responsible for specific mRNA codon recognition, and the 3' end, to which the tRNAs corresponding amino acid is attached (by aminoacyl-tRNA synthetases). tRNAs cope with the degeneracy of the genetic code in two manners: having more than one tRNA (with a specific anti-codon) for a particular amino acid; and 'wobble' base-pairing, i.e. permitting non-standard base-pairing at the 3rd anti-codon position. Lineage: Bacteria; Bacillati; Bacillota; Clostridia; Lachnospirales; Lachnospiraceae. The record is from RNAcentral.
GUGGAGAUGGCGGAAUGGCAGACGCGCUAGAUUCAGGUUCUAGUGGGAGCAAUCCUGUGAGGGUUCAAGUCCCUUUCUCCGCA